Non-coding RNA from Orcinus orca (killer whale), 820 nucleotides. The record is from the annotation of a RefSeq genome assembly. Lineage: Eukaryota; Metazoa; Chordata; Mammalia; Artiodactyla; Delphinidae.
GGGCUGGGGGCUCAGAAGGCAGCGUCUGGGGCGUCUCCACCAUGGCUUGGGCUCUGCUCCUUGUCACCCUCCUCACUCAGGACACAGGAUCCUGGGCCCAGUCUGGCCCGACUCAGCCUCCCUCAGUGUCCGGGAAUCUGGGACAGACGGUCACCAUCUCUUGUGCUGGAACCAGCAGUUAUGUCGGCUGGUACCAACAGCUCCCAGGCAUGGCCCCCAAAACCCUGAUUUAUGAUAACAAUAAACGGCCUUCAGGGAUCCCUGAUCGCUUCUCUGGCUCCAAGUCUGGGAACACGGCCUCCCUGACCAUCUCUGGGCUCCAGGCUGAGGACGAGGCCGUUUAUUACUGUAGUUCAUAUGCAGGUCAGCCCAAGUCCUCGCCCUCAGUCACUCUGUUCGCGCCCUCCACUGAGGAGCUCAACGCCAACAAGGCCACCCUGGUGUGUCUCAUCAAUGACUUCUACCCGGGCAGCGUGACGGUGGCCUGGAAGUCAGGCAGCACCACCAUCACCAAGGGCGUGGAGACCAGCCAGCCCUCGAAACAGAGCAACAGCAAGUACGCGGCCAGCAGCUACCUGGCCCUGACGGCCAGCGAGUGGAAAUCUUAUGAGAAGGGGGUCAGCUGCCAGGUCACGCACGAUGGGAAAACCGUGGAGAAGACAGUGUCGCCCUCCGAGUGCCCUUAGGUCCUGGUCCUCACAUCCUCAGGGGACUGGAGCCACAGGACCCCUGGAGGGUCUACCCACCCACCCUGGUCCCCCCAGCCCUUCCUCCUGCACCCAAUCAACUCUCAAUAAAAUGUCCUCAUUGUCAUUCAGAA